This 464-nucleotide ribosomal RNA is filed under the name uncultured bacterium. RNAcentral describes it as "partial 16S ribosomal RNA". It matches the Rfam family "Bacterial small subunit ribosomal RNA", at positions 29 to 507 of the family's 1533-position model. The record is from RNAcentral.
ACGAACGCUGGCGGCGUGCUUAACACAUGCAAGUCGAACGGAAAGGCCCCUUUGGGGGUACUCGAGUGGCGAACGGGUGAGUAACACGUGAGUAACCUGCCCUUGACUUCGGGAUAACUUCAGGAAACUGGGGCUAAUACCGGAUAGGAAUCCUUGCUGCAUGGUGGGGGUUGGAAAGCUUCGGCGGUUUUGGAUGGACUCGCGGCUUAUCAGCUUGUUGGUGGGGUAGUGGCUUACCAAGGCUUUGACGGGUAGCCGGCCUGAGAGGGCGACCGGCCACAUUGGGACUGAGAUACGGCCCAGACUCCUACGGGAGGCAGAAGUGGGGAAUAUUGCACAAUGGGCGGAAGCCUGAUGCAGCAACGCCGCGUGCGGGAUGACGGCCUUCGGGUUGGAAACCGCGUUCAGCAGGGGCGAAGCUUGUGGUGACGGUACCUGCAGAAGAAGCACCGGCUAACUACGUG